RNAcentral lists this unclassified non-coding RNA (1075 nucleotides) under Leishmania donovani. RNAcentral's name for it is "gene:LdHU3.32.3130(CDS-product:aquaporin-like_pro tein)". The record is from RNAcentral. Lineage: Eukaryota; Euglenozoa; Kinetoplastea; Trypanosomatida; Trypanosomatidae.
AGCAGCCGAGCCACUCGUCGUGUCUCCCGCGAGCGGUCUACUCAACAACCCUCCCCUGCUCUCGCGGUUGCCGACUAGAUAUCUGCUACCCUCUCUUGUACGGAGGCACACACACACACACACACAGAUACACACGACCGCCCACGCAUCCCAGUCGAAGCGUCCGCACCAAGAUGUGCGCUCUGCAGAGGGACGCCGCCACGAGGGCGGAGAAGCAGCCAUACCUCGCCCGCCAGAUUCCUAUGAUUCGGCUGAGCCGUUACCAGGCCAAAUUUGUGUGCGAGGGCAUCGGUACAUUCAUUUUCCUGAUGACGACGUCGCUAGCGGAGAUGAACUGCGGUAACCUAGCUGUGGACGGGAAGACUCGCACACGCAACCUCGCCCCGAUUGCGGAGGGGUUCAUGCUUUGCGUGCUUAUCUUCAUGUUCGGCUACAUCUCUGGUGGCCAUUUUAAUCCGGCUGUCACCUUCGCAGUUGUCAUGAUUCGCGGCAUGCGAGUCGAGGAGGCGAUUUCGUACUGGGUGGCUCAGGUGGUAGGCGCUCUGGUAGGUGCGGGGCUCAGUAUCCUUGUGCACGGCUCGACGCAACACUUGCCUGCACCGCAGGUCGUGCAGAACACGGCCGAGUACGUCUUUAGUGCCUUUGUAGCGGAGGCCGUGUUUACGAUGUUGCUUGUGACAGUGGUGCUGCACGCCGCCUACUCGCAGCAGCGCAACAACGACUUCUACGGCUUGGCAGUUGGCAUGUGCCUCCUCGCCUCCCAGUACGCUGUCGGCGGCGUGUCGGGUGGCGCCUUCAACCCAGCGGUCGCGACGGGUCUGCAGGUGACCAAGUUCAUUGCAGCUGGCUACUUCACGCAGCUCCUGUAUCUGUGGCUGUACUGGGCUGCGCCGGCCUGCGGCGCUGUUGCGGCGGCGUUUCUCUUUAUGAUGACCCACCCAGUGCCGAAAGACGAGGCUGGCGAGGUGCAGCAGCAGCGUGUGGCACGCAAUCUAUACAGCUCUUUCUGAGAUGCGAUUCCUGACUCCCCCUCCCCCUCCCACUCACUCCCUUUUCCUCACGCACAAACGUACAG